UACGUAGGGUGCGAGCGUUGUCCGGAAUUAUUGGGCGUAAAGAGCUCGUAGGCGGUCUGUCGCGUCUGCUGUGAAAACUCAGGGCUUAACCCUGAGCUUGCAGUGGGUACGGGCAGACUAGAGUGCGGUAGGGGAGACUGGAAUUCCUGGUGUAGCGGUGAAAUGCGCAGAUAUCAGGAAGAACACCCGUGGCGAAGGCGGCUCUCUGGGACGGUACUGACGCUGAGACGCGAAAGCGUGGGGAGCGAACAGG
Molecule: ribosomal RNA, 253 nt
Filed under: uncultured bacterium
Lineage: Bacteria
Description: partial 16S ribosomal RNA
Rfam family: Bacterial small subunit ribosomal RNA
Source: RNAcentral